AAGAUCAUACUUCACAGGAUCAUUUCUGUAGUAUGUUCGAUGAAUUUCCUGUCUGAAAUUCAAAGACACUUCAAACCAUGAGGAUGAGGUACAGUUCCACCAUCAGAGCGUGAAGGGGUUCAAGAUACCCUCGGGUGAACUUGAACAUUGAUGAUCGCUUGUUACUCCUCGGAGUAACAUGUGGUGUUGGAACUAUCUGAGUGGC
Small nucleolar RNA from Tigriopus californicus, 205 nucleotides. RefSeq annotates it as small nucleolar RNA U3. The record is from RefSeq and is a predicted model, not a curated record. NCBI's taxonomy places the organism in Eukaryota, Metazoa, Arthropoda, Copepoda, Harpacticoida, Harpacticidae. The transcript has a single exon.